AAAUGGUAAAACCCUGAAUUUCCGUGUCCAAUUUUGACUGUCCGUCUUAUAUGAAAUUUUUUUUAUAAUUCGUAUUUUUAUUGUUGUUAGGUGAUAAAAUAUGAUUAAUAUUUUAUGUGCGACUUGUCUUUUUAAUUUUUUUAAAUAAGACGGACAGUUAAAUGUUGGACACAGAAAUUAUGGUU
RNAcentral lists this microRNA precursor (185 nucleotides) under Oryza barthii. Its description in RNAcentral is "MIR812 microRNA precursor family". It matches the Rfam family "MIR812 microRNA precursor family". The record is from Rfam by way of RNAcentral. Lineage: Eukaryota; Viridiplantae; Streptophyta; Magnoliopsida; Poales; Poaceae.